This 446-nucleotide ribosomal RNA is filed under the name uncultured bacterium. RNAcentral's name for it is "partial 16S ribosomal RNA". It matches the Rfam family "Bacterial small subunit ribosomal RNA", at positions 338 to 795 of the family's 1533-position model. The record is from RNAcentral.
CCUACGGGUGGCAGCAGUCGAGAAUCAUUCACAAUGGGGGAAACCCUGAUGGUGCGACACCGCGUGGGGGAAUGAAGGUCUUCGGAUUGUAAACCCCUGUCAUGUGGGAGCAAAUUAAAAAGAUAGUACCACAAGAGGAAGAGACGGCUAACUCUGUGCCAGCAGCCGCGGUAAUACAGAGGUCUCAAGCGUUGUUCGGAAUCACUGGGCGUAAAGCGUGCGUAGGCUGUUUCGUAAGUCGUGUGUGAAAGGCGCGGACUCAACCCGCGGACGGCACAUGAUACUGCGAGACUAGAGUAAUGGAGGGGGAACCGGAAUUCUCGGUGUAGCAGUGAAAUGCGUAGAUAUCGAGAGGAACACUCGUGGCGAAGGCGGGUUCCUGGACAUUAACUGACGCUGAGGCACGAAGGCCAGGGGAGCGAAAGGGAUUAGAUACCCCAGUAGUC